This 562-nucleotide unclassified non-coding RNA is filed under the name Hevea brasiliensis (rubber tree). Lineage: Eukaryota; Viridiplantae; Streptophyta; Magnoliopsida; Malpighiales; Euphorbiaceae. The record is from RNAcentral.
GAUAUUAUCAGAGGACAUACCCUUGUAGGUGUCUGCCCAACUCUGAGUCUGAGUAGCCAUGGGUGUAAUUAACUAAAAGCACCCACAAAACACCCCCGAAAUCCUCCACUGGUUCAAGCCAAUAUCACAAAACCACCAUAUCUGCACAGAUUUCCAACUCAGCACCAACUUCAAUAGGCUGAAGUCAAGCUGAAGUCAAGAAAUUGACCAACACCCAAGAUUCCACAUGUAAUUCCUAGUGAGUAGCCGGAAAUAUAUAGUAUUUGCAGGAAUACCCAAUUCAGUUUGAAGUAGAUUUCACACGAAAUCUAAUUUUUCUCAGAUGGGUAAGUCAAAAUGGUGUAGACUCGGAUGUAAGGAGCAAGAAAGAUUGGAUCUAAGAGAGACAUGGAAAAAGAACAGAGAAGAAAUUGAAGAUUGUGUCGGCGCUUAAAGAAAGAGAGAAAGAACACGGGAGAGAGAGAGAGAGAGAGAUGGACACAGCUGUGAAGGUUACUUAGAUUGGAAGAAGGGAGAGAAAGAACAAGCGUUCUUAUUCUCAACUCGUUUUACCAAAAUAAGG